This 233-nucleotide ribosomal RNA is filed under the name uncultured bacterium. RNAcentral describes it as "partial 16S ribosomal RNA". It matches the Rfam family "Bacterial small subunit ribosomal RNA", at positions 118 to 347 of the family's 1533-position model. The record is from RNAcentral.
UGGGUGACCUGCCCUCAGCUCUGGGAUAAGCCUGGGAGACUGGGUCUAAUACUGGAUAUUCACUUCCUAUCGCAUGGUGGGUGGUGGUAAAGUUUUUUCGGCUGGGGAUGGGCCCGCGGCCUAUCAGCUUGUUGGUGGGGUGAUGGCCUACCAAGGCGACGACGGGUAGCCGGCCUGAGGAGGGCGUCCGGCCACACUGGGACUGAGACACGGCCCAGACCUCCGUACGGGGA